This 302-nucleotide ribosomal RNA is filed under the name fungal sp. RNAcentral's name for it is "SSU rRNA". It matches the Rfam family "Eukaryotic small subunit ribosomal RNA", at positions 1396 to 1701 of the family's 1831-position model. Lineage: Eukaryota; Fungi. The record is from RNAcentral.
CUGGUCGCCGGCUUCUUAAGGGACUAUCGGCUCUGCCCAUGGAAAUUUGAGGCAAUAACCGGGCUGUGAUGCCCUUAAAUGUUCUGGGCCGCACGCGCGCUACACUGACAGAGCCAACGAGUUCAUUUCCUUGUCCGAAAGGUCUGGGUAAUCUUGUUAAACUCUGUCGUGCUGGGGAUAGAGCAUUGCAAUUAUUGCUCUUCAACGAGGAAUGCCUAGUAAGCGCAUGUCAUCAGCAUGCGUUGAUUACGUCCCUGCCCUUUGUAACACCGCCCGUCGCUACUACCGAUUGAAUGGCUAAA